GCCCGGCUAGCUCAGUCGGUAGAGCAUGAGACUCUUAAUGUCAGGGUCGUGGGUUAGAGCCCCAUAUUGGGCG
This 73-nucleotide transfer RNA is filed under the name Danio rerio (zebrafish). It matches the Rfam family "tRNA". Rfam says of the family: Transfer RNA (tRNA) molecules are approximately 80 nucleotides in length. Their secondary structure includes four short double-helical elements and three loops (D, anti-codon, and T loops). The record is from Rfam by way of RNAcentral. Lineage: Eukaryota; Metazoa; Chordata; Actinopteri; Cypriniformes; Danionidae.